Dipodomys ordii (Ord's kangaroo rat) is the source of this 104-nucleotide small nuclear RNA. Lineage: Eukaryota; Metazoa; Chordata; Mammalia; Rodentia; Heteromyidae. The record is from Ensembl.
GUGUUGUAUGAGAGGAGAGACAGCUAGCUCUCCUGUGCCAAGGGUGGAGGAGGACCCGACUGACAACAAGCCUGUUGCUUAAGACAUUGAUACCACUUUUUUUU